UCGACUGUACUCGAACAGGAUCACUUAUGUAGUGAUUACCUUUCGUUCACAAGAGUACUCUUGACAAAACCCUAAACCGUGAUGAGGAGUUGUAUACCCCACCCUAAUGGAGGUGUAGUCAGUACAGUCAUGUACUCGACUUCGAUGAUCCAUCCCGUAUGGGACUGGGGUGUGGGUAUUGCUGAGCGGUU
Non-coding RNA from Perkinsus marinus ATCC 50983, 191 nucleotides. NCBI's taxonomy places the organism in Eukaryota, Perkinsozoa, Perkinsida, Perkinsidae. The record is from Rfam.